This 483-nucleotide ribosomal RNA is filed under the name uncultured Glomeraceae. Its description in RNAcentral is "eukaryotic LSU rRNA". It matches the Rfam family "Eukaryotic large subunit ribosomal RNA", at positions 268 to 633 of the family's 3401-position model. The record is from RNAcentral. Lineage: Eukaryota; Fungi; Glomeromycota; Glomeromycetes; Glomerales; Glomeraceae.
AGUUGUUUGGGAUUGCAGCUCAAAAUGGGAGGUAAAUUUCUCCUAAGGCUAAAUAAAGGCGGGAGACCGAUAGCGAACAAGUACCGUGAGGGAAAGAUGAAAAGAACUUUGAAAAGAGAGUUAAACAGUACGUGAAAUUGUUGAAAGGGAAACGAUUAAAGUCAGUCGUACUGACGGGGAAUCAACUUCUCGAGCGUGUUUUAGUGGGUUCAAAGUGCCUUUGUUCUCGUGAUAUCCGCGUUCUUUAGGUGCACUUUCUCGUAUUGUAGGUUAGCAUCGGUUUUGAUCGUCAUAAAAUGACUGGAGGAAUGUGGCUUUGACUUCGGUUGAAGUGUUAUAGACUCUGGUAGAUGUAAUGGUUGAGACCGAGGAUUGCAACGGAUGCCCUUAAGGGCUAUCCGCCUGGCUUCUGAUUGUCGUUUUGACUUCGAAAGCUUGCUUACGAGGUUAAAGUGUGCGGUCAUUAGGUUAGAACGGAUUACA